CACUGAAAGAUAGGAAUUAAGAUUACUGACGUGUAAAUGAACAAAAAGCGCAUAUUGUUAUGGUUAGCUAGCGCAAAACAUGACACGCUUUUCCUUGGCAGCACAUUUUAAAACAUUACAAAUUGAGGACGACUAUUCGUUAUAGUCAAUAAAAAUAUCAGGGGCACACCAAAUGACGUUCAUUCUUUUCCGCCGUGCGUGUCAAAAGCAAAGCGCGAGCAUUUUGUUCAUAAAAUAGCGCCGCACGCCCAUAGCCAAAGGACCUCGUCGCGCGUGUGAAUUGAAUAACUAUUUCCGCGCUUCCUGCGUGUGUCGCGACAGACUUCAUGUGAGGAACGGCAGCCAAUAAUGGGACAUUGGUGCUUUAAAUUGUGCCCCGGGUCAUUCAAAGCGCGCAGCCACGCGCUAUACCCACCGAAGAAAGAGGAAGAGAGUUGACGGAGUCUAAAGACCAAUGUAAAGAUAAUUUUGGCUGUCGCUCCGGUGAUAAGGUGGCACUGGCGGUCUGGAGGGAGACGGAGAGGAACGAGGGCUGACCUUCCCAGACAGAGAGUGUGAGCUCUGCCACUGUCCUCCACACCGUCAUGAUGACUGCUUCACGCCGCCUUUGAGACACUGUGGGAAGCGAUUGAGAGUGUGUGUGUGUGUGUGUGUGUGUGUGUGUGUGUGUGCUUUUUAAAGGGAGAAGUGAUGAGAAGAUGCUGGUGAUGAUGGAAAGGGGAAAAAAAACAAUCUGCUUGUUUGACUCGGUACAAUAAAGAUCACUAUGACGACAAAAAA
Puntigrus tetrazona (Sumatra barb) is the source of this 780-nucleotide long non-coding RNA. RefSeq lists it as uncharacterized. The record is from RefSeq and is a predicted model, not a curated record. NCBI's taxonomy places the organism in Eukaryota, Metazoa, Chordata, Actinopteri, Cypriniformes, Cyprinidae. The transcript has 2 exons.